This 466-nucleotide ribosomal RNA is filed under the name uncultured bacterium. RNAcentral describes it as "partial 16S ribosomal RNA". It matches the Rfam family "Bacterial small subunit ribosomal RNA", at positions 28 to 507 of the family's 1533-position model. The record is from RNAcentral.
GAUGAACGCUGGCGGCGUGCUUAACACAUGCAAGUCGAACGGAAAGGCCCAAGCUUGCUUGGGUACUCGAGUGGCGAACGGGUGAGUAACACGUGGGUGAUCUGCCCUGCACUUCGGGAUAAGCCUGGGAAACUGGGUCUAAUACCGGAUAGGACCACAUUUUGGAUGGUGUGGUGGAAAGUUUUUCGGUGUGGGAUGAGCUCGCGGCCUAUCAGCUUGUUGGUGGGGUAAUGGCCUACCAAGGCGUCGACGGGUAGCCGGACUGAGAGGGUGUACGGCCACAUUGGGACUGAGAUACGGCCCAGACUCCGACGGGAGGCAGCAGUGGGGAAGAUUGCACAAUGGGCGCAAGCCUGAUGCAGCGACGCCGCGUGGGGGAUGACGGCCUUCGGGUUGUAAACUCCUUUCGCUAGGGACGAAGCGUUAUGUGACGGUACCUGGAGAAGAAGCACCGGCUAACUACGUG